UGGGGAAUUUUGGACAAUGGUCGAAAGCCUGAUCCAGCAAUGCCGCGUGUGUGAAGAAGGCCUUCGGGUUGUAACUCACUUUUUUCCGGAAAGAAAUGGCUCUGGUUAAUACUUGGGGUCGAUGCCGGUACCGGAAGAAUACGCACCGGCUCACCACGUGCCCGCAGCCGCGGUAAUACGUAGUGUCCAAGCGUUAAUCGGAAUUACUGGGCGUAAAGCGUGCGCAGGCGGUUGUGCAAGACCGAUGUGAAAUCCCCGGGCUUAACUUGGGAAUUGCAUUGGUGACUGCACGGCUAGAGUGUGUCAGAGGGGGGUAGAAUUCCACGUGUGGCAGUGAAAUGCGUAGAGAUGUGGAGGAAUACCGAUGGCGAAGGCAGCCCCCUGGGAUAACACUGACGCUCAUGCACGAAAGCGUGGGGAGCAAACAGG
This 429-nucleotide ribosomal RNA is filed under the name Bacteroidota bacterium. RNAcentral's name for it is "Bacteroidetes bacterium partial 16S ribosomal RNA". It matches the Rfam family "Bacterial small subunit ribosomal RNA", at positions 355 to 776 of the family's 1533-position model. Lineage: Bacteria; Pseudomonadati; Bacteroidota. The record is from RNAcentral.